Molecule: non-coding RNA, 224 nt
Filed under: Leuconostoc citreum
Lineage: Bacteria; Bacillati; Bacillota; Bacilli; Lactobacillales; Lactobacillaceae
Description: T-box sequence
Rfam family: T-box leader
About the family: Uncharged tRNA acts as the effector for transcription antitermination of genes in the T-box leader family. T-boxes are found upstream of many aminoacyl-tRNA synthetase genes and some amino acid biosynthetic genes usually in Gram-positive bacteria. The anticodon of a specific tRNA base pairs to a specifier sequence within the T-box motif, and the NCCA acceptor tail of the tRNA base pairs to a conserved bulge in the T-box antiterminator hairpin.
Source: RNAcentral
UUAAAAACGUUGAGCAGAAGAGUAGUUUGAUUAAUUUUUCAGAGAGUUUGCGGUUAGUGUGAGCAAAUAAGUUAUUCAGAUGAACCACAUCUGUGAGUAUGUAGUUGAAUUGGAGUAGGCUGCAUCGGAAGUGCCCGUUAUCGCAUACAGUCUUUGGACUUAUUGAGGUAUUAUCAGUGAUGGUUAAUACAUUUAAGAGGUGGCACCGCGGUAACGCCCUCUGA